CAGUAAGCGAGACAAUCUGGUUUUCACCCUUGCUUUUAUUUUGCAAACCAGUUCUCUACAUCCAAAGAAGCAUUCCUGCGAAGAGUGCGUGUGCAGCUAGUGAGUCAACAAUGUUUAGUCUGAACUAAGUGAAGAAUAAGUAUUUUUUUUUUGUCAUUGUUCUUGAGCCACGUCUAGUUAUGGGAGAAAGCUGAAAUUUUAUCUUGCAUUCAACAUUUGAUACUUUUAAAUCUGUUCUUCUUUUCCCAUCCAUGCUUCUCUCAUUUGAUUUGAUUGAUUAUUUAUAUUUAAUGAAUUAAAAAAAAAAAAUUACAAAUUUUCUUCGCUAAAAACUAAACUAAAUACUUAUUUUGCAAAUGACUAAUGGUUCCGCAAAUUUUUUUUUUUUAAAUCAAAAUGUGCAAAACAAGUACUACUUUUUUUAUUUUGAAAGCUUUCUCUUCGAUUAAGAAAAAAUUAUUUUAUGUUCCUGUUAGAGUGGUCUUGUUAUCCACAAUGCUCGGAGACGGUGUGGUCAAUGGUUCGUCGGUCUGCUGGACUCUGAACUGAAGCAAGAUGAUAAGACUGCUCAGUGGGCGAAAAACGUACAUUGGUCAGCCAACUGCGGUUGAUACAAACGAAGCCGCCAAUGUCAACGACGUGAGGCGCGGCGACGGCCACGUCCAAAAAAGUCGACAUCUGCAAAAGUGAAAUCCACCUUUCAGCACAAGAUGAAAAUAAAAUUAAAAAAUAUAUGUGCUCUCGCCAGUAAACUGAUACACGUAUUUAAAAGGAGGUGCUGAAAGCUGAACACACUUAAUGUAUGAACUUUCGAACCUCUCGCCUCACUGCCUCCGCCGUCUCGAUGGACGGUAUUAGGAAAAAAGGGUCCCAUUGAAUGUCUUCAAACUGGAAAUAAGAAUGGUUCAACUUUUCAAACCGG
Long non-coding RNA from Neocloeon triangulifer, 922 nucleotides. RefSeq lists it as uncharacterized. The transcript has 2 exons. The record is from RefSeq and is a predicted model, not a curated record. Lineage: Eukaryota; Metazoa; Arthropoda; Insecta; Ephemeroptera; Baetidae.